UCUCAACAAGGGACCCGGUGAAACUGAAUUGUCUGUGAAUAUGCAGGCUACCCGCGGCAGGACGGAAACUCCCCGGGAGCUUUACUGCAGCCAGCUAUUCUGUACACGCUCUCCGUGUUUAGUAUAGGUGGGAGCUUUCUAAACAUUAUGUAUAGCGCCGGUGAAAUACCACUCUCGGUUCGGCGUGUACAGUAACCCGGAAGCCCUAGCAGGCAGGGGACAGUGGCCGGUAGGCAGUUUUGCUUGGUCGGCACCCUCCUAAAAGGUAACGGAGGGGUCCAAAGGUCUCCUCAGCACGGUUGGCAACCGUGUGUUGAGCAUAAAGGUAUAAGGAGGCCUGACUGGUAGAGCGGCAGCUCAAGCAGGGACGAAAGUCGGGCUUAAUGACGCGGUGUUUGCAUGUGGACGCGGCACCGCUUCAACGGAUAAAAGUUCCCCGGGAAUACAGGGCCAAUCUCCCCUGAGAGGCCAUAUUGGCGGGGAGGUUUGGUGCCUCGUUGCCGGCUCAUCGCAUCCUGGGGCUGAAGCUGGUCCCAAGGGUUGGGUUAGUAGCCCAUUAAAGCGGUUUGUUAGCUGGAUGAAGAACAUCGUAAGAUAGUUCAUAGCCUAUCCGCCGUGGGCGCAGGAGACUUGAGAGGGGCUGCCCCUAUUACGAGAGGACCGGGGCGGGCCGGCCUAUGGCGUACCGGUUGUUCCGCCAGGAGCAUAGCCGGGUAACUACGCCGGUAAGCGAUAAGCGCUGAAUGCAUAUAAGCGCGAAACGCGCCUCAAGAUAAGGUUUCCCUAUCAGGCUCCGGGUAGACUACCCGGUUGAUAGGCCGGAGGUGUAAGGACUGAAAGGUCUUUAGCUUACCGGUACUAAAUGUCCGAGAG
Molecule: ribosomal RNA, 873 nt
Filed under: Armatimonadota bacterium
Lineage: Bacteria; Bacillati; Armatimonadota
Description: bacterial LSU rRNA
Rfam family: Bacterial large subunit ribosomal RNA
Source: RNAcentral